Molecule: ribosomal RNA, 591 nt
Filed under: Microdon mitis
Lineage: Eukaryota; Metazoa; Arthropoda; Insecta; Diptera; Syrphidae
Description: partial 28S ribosomal RNA
Source: RNAcentral
AGUACGUGAAACUGCUUAGAGAUUAAGCCUGAUGAACCUGAAUAUCCAUUAAUGGAAAAUUCAUCGCUAAUAUUUUAUGAUAUUUAUUUAUAUUAUAAAAAUGGUGUGCAUUUUUUCCAUAAAGGACAUUGUAAUCGGUUAAUAAAUUGAGAAUCUAUCAAAAGAUUCAUUUUAAGAGUUUAUUCUAAUUAAAUUUUUUUAAAUUUAAAAUUGAAUAAAUUUAAUGAAUUUAAUAGAUUGUUGACUGAUUUAUUUAUAAUAAUGUUUUAAAUUACUUUUGUAAUUUUAUAAUAAAUUUUUAUAUAUUCUUUGGAUAAAUAAUUAUUUAUUAUAUACAUUUUUAUGAUUUACAAUGUUAUAAAUUCAGGAUACCUUCGGGACCCGUCUUGAAACACGGACCAAGGAGUCUAACAUAUGUGCAAGUCGUUGAGUAAUUUUAAUAAAACUCAAAGGCAUAAUUAACUUAACUGUAUUUAAUGGGAUAAGUUUAUAAUUUUUUCUUUUUUAAUAAAAGAAAAGUUUUAAAUUCAAUCCCAGGGCGUUCUAUAUAGUUAUGCAUAAUAAUAUUUAUAUUAUUUAUGUCUCUAACUG